CCUACGGGGGGCAGCAGUGAGGAAUAUUGGUCAAUGGGCGGAAGCCUGAACCAGCCAAGUCGCGUGAGGGAAUAAGGCCCUACGGGUCGUAAACCUCUUUUGCCGGGGAGCAAGGGCGGGGACGUGUCCCGGCCCGGAGAGUACCCGGAGAAAAAGCAUCGGCUAACUCCGUGCCAGCAGCCGCGGUAAUCCGGGGGAUGCGAGCGUUAGCCGGAUUUUUUGGGUUUAAAUGGUGCGUGGUCGUGCUUUUAAGUCAGCGGUAAAACGUCGGGGCUCAACCCCGUACGGCCGUUGAAACUGGGGGCCUUGAGUGGGCGAGAAGAAGGCGGAAUGCGUGGUGUAGCGGUGAAAUGCAUAGAUAUCACGCAGAACCCCGAUUGCGAAGGCAGCCUUCCGGCGCCCUACUGACGCUGAGGCACGAAAGUGCGGGGAUCGAACAGGAUUAGAUACCCUUGUAGUC
RNAcentral lists this ribosomal RNA (460 nucleotides) under uncultured bacterium. RNAcentral's name for it is "partial 16S ribosomal RNA". It matches the Rfam family "Bacterial small subunit ribosomal RNA", at positions 338 to 795 of the family's 1533-position model. The record is from RNAcentral.